GUCUCAGUACUAGCCGAUUUUAAUUUUAUAUUAAAAGAAAUGGUGAAACCGCGAAAAGCUCAUUAAAUCGGCUUUGGUUCCUUAGAUAGUUUGCAGAAUUGAAAUUUUUUUCGAUUUCUUUCGAAAAAAAUUAAAAUGUCUGAUAUGGAUAACUGUGGUAAUUCUAGAGCUAAUACAUGAAAAUACUAUCAUUGAAGUGUGAAAAUCUGUAAAAAUGAACUGAUUUUUAUUUUACAUAGAAUGAAAGUUCUUUUUAUGGAAUAAUUUUUGCACGCUUUUAUUAGAGGAAAAAGCCAAUUUUAUAAGAAUUUUUCGAAUUUUAUUUGAAAAAUUUGUUUGAUCUUGAAAAUUAAUUCGACAAACGAAUUAAUUUGAUUGAUGUUGAAUCUGAAUAACUUGAAUGAAUCUUUUCUGAAAGUAUAUUAUUAGGAAAUUUUUCGCCUCUUAACGGAGAGUGGAAAAUUUUUGAAUAAUAUUAUACGAUUAGGGAAAGAUUUAAAGCAGACCGCAAAUAUUAAUUUAGGUCAUUUUAUUUGUACGUCAUUUGGUGUGUAAAAGCAUCAAAUCGUUCGUAAAAUGAUCGAUUGCGGCGUAUCUUUCAAUUGUCUGCCUUAUCAACUUUCGAUGGUAGAUUAUAUGUCUACCAUGGUUGUAACGGGUAACGGGGAAUCAGGGUUCGAUUCCGGAGAGGGAGCCUGAGAAACGGCUACCACAUCUAAGGAAGGCAGCAGGCACGCAAAUUACCCAAUCCCGGCACGGGGAGGUAGUGACGAUAAAUAACGAUCCGGAACUCUAAUGAGUUUCCGUAAUCGGAAUGAGUACAAUUUAAAUACUUUAACGAGGAACCAAUGGAGGGCAAGUCUGGUGCCAGCAGCCGCGGUAAUUCCAGCUCCAUUAGCAUAUAUUAAAUUUGUUGCGUUUAAAAAGCUCGUAGUUGAAUCUGUAUCUCAUACUGUCAAUCGCUCAUAAUUUCUAUUUAUGCAGUUUGACUUGACAAAAUUUAUUUUUAUUGUAUGAGAUAUGACUACUGGCGGAUUUUAUAAAAUUAUAUACAAAAANAUUGUGUCGUCAAAAGCACAAUUUUGCAUAUAUAAUUUUAAAAUUCGAUAUCGCGAUUAACGUUAAAAGUGAUUCAAAAGAAUUUAAUUCAGUUUACUUCUUUGAAAACAAGUCUGUGUCCGGG
This 1183-nucleotide ribosomal RNA is filed under the name Halictophagus sp. 2 DPM-2011. RNAcentral describes it as "bacterial SSU rRNA". It matches the Rfam family "Eukaryotic small subunit ribosomal RNA", at positions 57 to 888 of the family's 1831-position model. Lineage: Eukaryota; Metazoa; Arthropoda; Insecta; Strepsiptera; Halictophagidae. The record is from RNAcentral.